This 394-nucleotide ribosomal RNA is filed under the name Nasutitermes ephratae. Its description in RNAcentral is "partial 16S ribosomal RNA". The record is from RNAcentral. Lineage: Eukaryota; Metazoa; Arthropoda; Insecta; Blattodea; Termitidae.
CAUCUUUUCUUGUUAGUUUUUGAAGUAUGGCCUGCCCACUGACUUGGAGUUGAAGGGCCGCGGUAUUUUGACCGUGCAAAGGUAGCAUAAUCAUUAGUUCUUUAAUUGUGAUCUGGUAUGAAUGGCUUGACGAGACAUAAGCUGUCUUAGAGGUAUUGGUUUAUUGAAUUUGGUUUUUGAGUUAAAAUUCUUAAAUGUUUUUAUGGGACGAGAAGACCCUAUAGAGUUUGACAAUUUUCCUAUUUAUUCGUUGUUUGUGUUUAUUUACAUUGAGUGGGAGUGAAUUGUUUUGUUGGGGUGAUGGGAGGAAUAUUGUUUAACUCCUCUUUGUUUUUAUAUAUUUAUGUAUAUAUUUUUGAUCCAUUUAUUUUGAUUAUAAGAUUAAAUUACCUUA